AUAUAUAUAGCUCAGUGGUAGGGCACUUGGCUAGCAUCCAGGAGGCCUUAGGUUCAAUCCCCAGUACAGAAA
This 72-nucleotide transfer RNA is filed under the name Heterocephalus glaber (naked mole-rat). It matches the Rfam family "tRNA". Rfam says of the family: Transfer RNA (tRNA) molecules are approximately 80 nucleotides in length. Their secondary structure includes four short double-helical elements and three loops (D, anti-codon, and T loops). The record is from Rfam by way of RNAcentral. Lineage: Eukaryota; Metazoa; Chordata; Mammalia; Rodentia; Bathyergidae.